Molecule: long non-coding RNA, 618 nt
Organism: Dermochelys coriacea (leatherback sea turtle)
Lineage: Eukaryota; Metazoa; Chordata; Testudines; Dermochelyidae
Exons: 3
Source: RefSeq, a predicted model, not a curated record
GUUGCUCACCCGGGAGGGGGGGGGCUCCUCAGCAGCAGGCCCUGGCGAGGCUGGAGCACCCCCAGCCCCGGGGGUCCCCUGUGAACUGAUCACCCCCCCGGGGGGGCUGGCACGCGGGGCUCCCGAGCGUUUACACGUGCCAGUGGGUAUUUUGUGUGUUACAGGAGCACCCAGUCGCCCGCCCGGAGGGGCCCCCUGUGCCCGGCGCUGCCCAGACCCCCGGCCGAGAGCGGGGCUCCUGGCACCGCGCUACCUUUGGUGGGACGCUUUUGAAAGUAUCAACUCGGGACAACUUGCUCCGAGCAGGGCGGCUGCAGCCCACGGCUGGGGGCUCCUUUGCACACCAAGGCAAGGCAAACCAGCCAGCCGGAGAGGACUUCGGUUUUACCCGACUGGCUAUCCAGAAGUCAUACAAGCAAUUCUCUCAGACCGGCGGUGGCUCUCCUAUCCGCACCCGCAGCAGGCGCCAUGGCUACGAGCCGCGUGCAGCCCAUCAAACUGGCCCGGGUCACCAAGGUGCUGGGCCGGACGGGCUCGCGGGGCCAGUGCACCCAGGUUCGUGUUGAAUUCAUGGACGACGCCAGUACAUCCAUCAUCCGGAAAGUGAAGGGAGAGAUC